AGCGCUUCAGUUAGUACUUGGGCGAAACUACGUUGACAGGCCAGAAGCAAGAAGCCGAGAUGAUGAAGUGUGAUGCGGCCGAUCUUUCGCGACGUCGCUGCAGUAGGGUUACGAGUU
Molecule: regulatory RNA element, 117 nt
Organism: Oryza sativa Indica Group (long-grained rice)
Lineage: Eukaryota; Viridiplantae; Streptophyta; Magnoliopsida; Poales; Poaceae
Rfam family: Insertion sequence IS1222 ribosomal frameshifting element
About the family: This family represents the insertion sequence IS1222 ribosomal frameshifting element.
Source: Rfam